Molecule: unclassified non-coding RNA, 3272 nt
Filed under: Leishmania donovani
Lineage: Eukaryota; Euglenozoa; Kinetoplastea; Trypanosomatida; Trypanosomatidae
Description: gene:LdHU3.21.2150(CDS-product:ATP-dependent_RNA_ helicase_SUB2_putative)
Source: RNAcentral
AACCACCGUAGCCAGAACGAGAAGAAUAAGAGAACAACCAGCAACAGCACUACGAACACCUUCAAACGUUACGCCGUCGCCAACGACCCCUCCCGCCCUCUACCCCUUUUUCCUUCCGUCUCACUUGUGCCAUCUUCAUUGUGCGAUAAUGAGCAGCGAUCUUGCGGACUUCGACGGCGAUGAUGUCAGGACCACCGUCGUGGCGGCACAGCCGAUGGGCGUCGGAAUGGGCACCCACAGCGCCGUCGCUCUCGGUGGCUUCCAGGACUUCUGCCUGAAGAGCGAGCUCGCGAACGCCAUCCGCGAGAACGGCUUCGAGCACCCGUCGGAGGUGCAGCACCAGGCGCUGCCUAAGGCGAUGCUCGGCGCUGACAUUCUCGCCCAGGCGAAGUCGGGUAUGGGUAAGACGGCCGUCUUCGUCUUUGCGCUGCUGGAGCAGGUGGAGAAGGUGCCGCAGGGACAGAAGCCGUACUGCCAGGCCGUCGUGCUGGUGCACGCCCGCGAGCUGGCCUACCAGAUCGAGCAGGAGUUCAAGCGCUUCAGCAAGUACCUCCCGUACGCCACCACCGGCGUCUUCUUCGGCGGCAUUCCGGAGGACGAGAACGUGAAGCAGCUGAAGAAGGAGGUGCCGGCGAUCAUCGUCGGCACGCCGGGCCGCAUGAAGGCGCUCAUCCAGAACAAGGCCUUUGACACGACGCACGUGAAGUGGUUUGUGGUCGAUGAGUUCGACCGCUGCCUAGAAGACGUGAAGAUGCGCCGUGACGUGCAGGAGAUCUUCAUGAAGCUGCCCAAGGAGAAGCAGGUGAUGAUGUUCUCUGCCACGAUGACGGAUGAGCUGCGCGAUGUGGCGAAGAAGUUCAUGAAGGACGCGACGGAGAUUUACGUGGAUCAGCGGGCAAAGCUGACCCUGCAUGGCUUGGCGCAGUUCUACAUGAACGUCACGGAGCCGGAGAAGACGCGCCGGCUGGCGGAGAUCCUCGACGUUGUGGAGUUCAACCAGGCGAUCAUCUUCACAUCCUCGGUCGAGCGCUGCGAGGCGCUAAACCGCCAGCUGCAGCAGAUGAAGUUCCCGUCGCAGGCCGUGCACUCCCGCAUGAGCCAGGAGGAGCGCCUGCGCGUGUACGAGAGCUGCAAGGCGAACAACACCCGCAUCAUGGUCGCCACCGACCUCUUCGGCCGCGGCGUCGACUUUGACCGCAUCAACCUCGUUGUGCAGUACGACAUGGCCUCCGAGGCUGACAGCUACCUUCACCGAGUCGGCCGCGCCGGCCGCUUCGGCACGAAGGGAUUGACAAUCGCCUUCAUAACGACAGACGAGAAGGAGAUCAAGCGCGAGAACCGCACCUACACGGAUGGCGGCAUCAUGAAGGAAGUGCAGGAGCGCUUCGAGAUGAAGGUCGAGGAGCUGACGGACAUCAACACCCAGCUGAACGAGAACCAGUACAUGAACAAGUAAGCCGUGUGACAAGACGACAGCUACGCCUGUGGAUAUGGUGGUGCCCGAUAACGCAUGUGUACCUGCCCCGUGUGCCUGUGUGCCUGUAGCCGUCUCUCUCUCUUUGUAUGUGUGUGUGCUUAUACGUGGCUGUGGCGUUUGCGCAGGCACGCACGUCUCCUGGAUGAUCAUAGAGAGCCUUUCUGAAUCUUUCUUCCGUUCCUUCAGAGGGGGAGGAGGGGGGGCGAGGUUAGAGGAAAGCUCCUGGUGUGUAUGUGUGUGUGUGUGCAUGUUCUUGACUGUAUUCGUUUCGCUCGUAUCGCGUGCUUGGCGCUUCGCUUCUUCUUUCGGCUGUGGUGUCGCAUAGGUGGGGGGCGUGUACUCAUGCAACGGAUGGUUUGUUGCUGUGGAUGUUUGUCUAUCGAGUGCCGACGGGCUGCGAGCGGGGUGAUGGGGUAGUGGUGUUGGAGGAAGACGACGACCCCACAAGCGGGUGGGUGUGCCCUUCGCGUGUUUUCCUUUGCAAGCACACUGCACCCCCUACCCCUUCCCCCAUCGUCUUCCCUUCGCAUGUCGGAGAGAAGCGCGAGCUGGGGUGUUGACGCUCUUUGUAAGUACCUGUUUUGUGAUCUAAAAAGAAAAAGAAGAAACCUCAUCCACCCGGCCAUCCCUCCCUCAUCCCCAUCCCCAUCCCCCGAUCCUCGUCUGCCACACCCACCCACCUCCGAUCCUCAUCGUCCUCUCGUGACUUGGAGGUGGCGGCAGAGCGGAGAGACGAGGAGGCGUGGUGAUCAGGGCGGGGUCGGAUGGGGUAACGCAGAAAAGGUAAAUUAGGAAGAGAGAAGGUUGUGAAGAUAUACGCAGCCAUGCGUGUGCGUGUGUAUAUGGCUCUGUAUAUGCGUGCCUUGUAGGUGUUUCGAUUCGAGGCAGGCACAUAAAGGCGAGCGGGAGAAAGAAAGAGGAGCGAGACGCCAUUGAGCAAGGUUGUGCUUCGGCCACACACACGCACACGGGCAUGCAGACACAGACAGGCAGCGGACUUCUGUGGGUCGCGCGGACGGCGGGACGCGUAGAGGGGGGGGCGGAGAGCGGUAAGAAUAGACCAGCAAAAGCGAAAAGGACGCGAGAGGUGUAUCCACACACCCACACAGCCGAUGCUUCAUGCACGCGGACUUGCCCGCACUCCGAUGUGGUCGCGAUGGAGGUGUUCGCUGGGCAGUGUAGUGUGUGCUGCUGAUAAAGGAGAGGUGUGGAGUGGGAAGAGAGGCGAACGGUGGCGCUUGAUUCUUUGUCUUCUGGUCAAGCCUCGGCAUCGUCUGCGCCACCACCAUAUACACGAUGGAGGCGGAUGACUUUCACUGCCCACUUGUCGCGAAAGACAACGAAGGGACAAAGGAAGGGGAGAGUGCGCAGAAGAUGGCGAUACGAUUCGCAGAGUCGGGCAGCGGGCGACGGGCGAUCCAGUGUAGCGGGUCGCUCACCCCCUCCCUCCUCCCCUCUCCCUGCGCCUGCCACAUCCAUCGUACCUUUUGCCUUUGCCUUUUCCCUCGCCGCCCCUUCCCUCACUCCCUCUCCCCCAGUUCUCUGACCUCGCCAACCGCACGUGUUCGAUUUCAUUUUUUUUGGUGUGUGUUUGUGUGCUCCCUCUUCCUCCCUCCCUCUUCCCUUCACGCUCUCGCUCGCUCGCUUGCGCCUAACCUACUCGCGCUGUCGGAGCGUGAUUGGGUGACGCCGGCGGUCGCCUCCGCGUUCGUCUCUUUAGCCGCGUCGGCUUCGACUUUCUAUUUUCUUCUCCCAUAUACGUUUCUGCCUAACAUACGCCCAUCAUCGCGAAAAG